Molecule: ribosomal RNA, 165 nt
Filed under: uncultured bacterium
Lineage: Bacteria
Description: partial 16S rRNA
Rfam family: Bacterial small subunit ribosomal RNA
Source: RNAcentral
UAGGGAAUCUUCGGCAAUGGACGAAAGUCUGACCGAGCAACGCCGCGUGAGUGAAGAAGGUUUUCGGAUCGUAAAACUCUGUUGGUAGAGAAGAACGUUGGCGAGAGUGGAAAGCUCAUCAAGUGACGGUAACUACCCAGAAAGGGACGGCUAACUACGCCCCAG